Alosa alosa (allis shad) is the source of this 319-nucleotide long non-coding RNA. RefSeq lists it as uncharacterized. The transcript has 3 exons. The record is from RefSeq and is a predicted model, not a curated record. Lineage: Eukaryota; Metazoa; Chordata; Actinopteri; Clupeiformes; Clupeidae.
CUCUACCGGUGUUUCGUCUGCUGCGUGUUUGGUUCCCUGGUGUUUCCCCGCGUAGGCUGAACGUGACGACAGUUUAUCUUCACUCUUUCUGAGUGGUGGUGGAUAAAUCCACCUGGCGCCCAACCGUUACGCUACCCCACUACCGCCACAAUCUUCAAUGACCUUUGCAUAGCCUCCACCAACGGCCCCAUCAUCAUAUGGAAAGAUCAGAAAGAUCUUUGCAGGUCUUCACCUUGAUGUGGAUGGCUGUAUCAUCAUGCCAUUCCCAGAGGGUUACCAUCCCCCCUGGCUUCCCUCCCCCUCCACCACUGCAGCAGAG